CCUACGGGAGGCAGCAGUGGGGAAUAUUGGGCAAUGGGCGAAAGCCUGACCCAGCAACGCCGCGUGAAGGAAGAAGGCUUUCGGGUUGUAAACUUCUGUUGACAGGGAAGAGCAGAAGACGGUACCUUAUGAAUAAGCAUCGGCUAACUCCGUGCCAGCAGCCGCGGUAAUACGGUGGAUGCGAGCGUUAUCCGGAUUUAUUGGGUUAAAGGGGUGCGUAGUCGGUUUUUUAAGUUAGUGGUUAAACGUCGGGGCUUCACCUUGAUUUGCCAUUAAUACUGUAAGACUCGAGUUCAGACGAGGUAGGCGGAAUAAGUUAAGUAGCGGUGAAAUGCUUAGAUAUAACUUAGAACACCGAUAGCGAAGGCAGCUUACCAGACUGCGACUGACGCUGAAGCACGAGAGCGUGGGUAGCGAACAGGAUUAGAUACCCUAGUAGUC
This 441-nucleotide ribosomal RNA is filed under the name uncultured bacterium. RNAcentral's name for it is "partial 16S ribosomal RNA". It matches the Rfam family "Bacterial small subunit ribosomal RNA", at positions 338 to 795 of the family's 1533-position model. The record is from RNAcentral.